This 254-nucleotide ribosomal RNA is filed under the name uncultured bacterium. Its description in RNAcentral is "partial 16S ribosomal RNA". It matches the Rfam family "Bacterial small subunit ribosomal RNA", at positions 524 to 776 of the family's 1533-position model. The record is from RNAcentral.
UACGUAGGGGGCAAGCGUUGUCCGGAUUUAUUGGGCGUAAAGAGCGUGUAGGCGGCUUUACAGGUCCGUUGUGAAAACUCGAGGCUCAACCUCGAGACGCCGGUGGAAACCGUAAAGCUAGAGUCCGGAAGAGGAGAGUGGAAUUCCUGGUGUAGCGGUGAAAUGCGCAGAUAUCAGGAGGAACACCCGUGGCGAAAGCGGCUCUCGUGGGACGGUACUGACGCUGAGACGCGAAAGCGUGGGGAGCAAACAGG